Molecule: ribosomal RNA, 367 nt
Filed under: uncultured organism
Description: bacterial LSU rRNA
Rfam family: Bacterial large subunit ribosomal RNA
Source: RNAcentral
CUUUACUGUAGCCUGGAAUUGGGUUCGGGCUUUAACUGCGCAGGAUAGGUGGGAGGCUAUGAGGCAAUGCUUGUGGGCAUUGCGGAGCCAACGGUGAGAUACCACUCUGUUAAGGCUAGAAUUCUAACUUGUUGCCGUUAUCCGGCACGAGAACAGUUUCAGGUGGGCAGUUUGACUGGGGCGGUCGCCUCCUAAAUGGUAACGGAGGCGCGCAAAGGUUCUCUCAGGCUGGUUGGAAAUCAGCCGUAGAGUGUAAAAGCACAAGAGAGCUUGACUGUGAGAGAAACACCUCGAGCAGGGACGAAAGUCGGCUUUAGUGAUCCGACGGCGCUGCGUGGAAAGGCCGUCGCUAAACGGAUAAAAGUUA